RNAcentral lists this ribosomal RNA (253 nucleotides) under uncultured bacterium. Its description in RNAcentral is "partial 16S ribosomal RNA". It matches the Rfam family "Bacterial small subunit ribosomal RNA", at positions 524 to 776 of the family's 1533-position model. The record is from RNAcentral.
UACGUAGGGAGCGAGCGUUGUUCGGAGUUACUGGGCGUAAAGAGUGCGUAGGCGGUUUUCUAAGUUUGGUGUGAAAUCUCCCGGCUUAACUGGGAGGGUGCGCCGAAGACUGGAAGGCUUGAGUAUGGGAGAGGUAAGCGGAAUUCCUGGUGUAGCGGUGAAAUGCGUAGAUAUCAGGAGGAACACCUGCGGUGUAGACGGCUUACUGGACCAUAACUGACGCUGAGGCGCGAAAGCGUGGGUAUCAAACAGG